Transfer RNA from Conidiobolus coronatus NRRL 28638, 73 nucleotides. It matches the Rfam family "tRNA". From Rfam's summary of the family: Transfer RNA (tRNA) molecules are approximately 80 nucleotides in length. Their secondary structure includes four short double-helical elements and three loops (D, anti-codon, and T loops). The record is from Rfam. NCBI's taxonomy places the organism in Eukaryota, Fungi, Entomophthoromycota, Entomophthoromycetes, Entomophthorales, Conidiobolaceae.
GUCACUUUAGCUCAGUUGGAAGAGCGUCAGACUGAUGUUCCGAAUGUCCAGUGUUCAAUCCGCACAAGUGACA